GAUGAACGCUAGCGGCAGGCUUAACACAUGCAAGUCGAGGGGCAGCAUAAAUAGUAGCAAUACUAUUGGUGGCGACCGGCGGACGGGUGCGUAACGCGUAUACAACCUUCCCUAAACAGGGGGAUAAGCUGGAGAAAUUCGGUCUAAUACCCCAUACAAUCAGAGCAGGCAUCUGUUUUGGUUAAAUUUUCGGGAGGUUUAGGAUGGGUAUGCGUAGCAUUAGCUAGUUGGUGAGGUAACGGCUCACCAAGGCCACGAUGCUUAGGGGGACUGAGAGGUUAACCCCCCACACUGGUACUGAGACACGGACCAGACUCCUACGGGAGGCAGCAGUGAGGAAUAUUGGUCAAUGGGCGGAAGCCUGAACCAGCCAUGCCGCGUGCAGGAUGACGGCUCUAUGAGUUGUAAACUGCUUUUGUACGAGGGUAAAGUGGGCUACGUGUAGCCUUUUGAAAGUAUCGUACGAAUAAGGAUCGGCUAACUCCGUGCCAGCCGCCGCGGUAA
Molecule: ribosomal RNA, 504 nt
Filed under: uncultured bacterium
Lineage: Bacteria
Description: partial 16S ribosomal RNA
Rfam family: Bacterial small subunit ribosomal RNA
Source: RNAcentral